GGGACAUAUUAGUCUUGAUCUAAAUGUCAUUGUUUUUUUAACGGCCAGUAAAAUCAGUCCCAUGUACUCUCUCUCGGAGCACCCACUGGACCAAACAGAGUACUCCGAGAGUAAUCCUAGUCCACCACUAAUUCCGGGAAAAACCCGGUAACCCACCUGACUGUAGACAUGACGGUGAAAUUACAGGUAAAAGUUGUUUGGCUUCUUGGCAAGAAUAGUGACAAUUAGAUCAAAUGCACAGCAUUAUUAAGUAAUUUUGUUGAUAAAAAAUAAUAUUAUCCAGUAAUCUUGAUUUACCUUGCUAAAGAUCUUGAAGUUAUGAUCAUUCAUUCAUUCAUUUUAAACAUAUAAAUACCAACUUGAAUGAAGUCUAACUUUUAUUGAACGGCAAACCACUCCUAAAUACUCUUAUGCCUACACUUUACAGGAUUUGAACUAUCCACCUCUUGGAUUGAGGGGAGGAUCGUACCAACACUCGAUGUCCCUUUGAGGACUUGAAUACCCUAGUUGACUAGAAUGAGGGUCAAAGAAAUGAAAUUAAAUAAAUCCCAACUUGAAUAAACCCUAUUGACGCCCAUGACAUUAGAGCCUAGUGACAUUUUGGGGAUGGGAUAAGUUUUGGGACCAUUAGGUCCUGGGUUUGAUUCUCACAAAUGGUGGUUUUCCCAUAUUUAUUGUGUUUCCUCCUGAAUUGGUGUAUAGACAUUAUAUAGCCUAGUGAGAAUUGGAUAUGAUCGGGUGGUUCUAUUGGUGGCACGAUGAUACUCCAGUGGUCCGUCAGUGAUCCUAAUUUACCGUUCAAAAAAAAGAAUAAACCCAACUGACCCUAGUUGACUAAAAUGACCUCAAGGCGAUUUUAGCCUAGCGUAUCAAGAUGUACAGUAAGGAUGUUUCUCCACAAAUGGUCGAUUGUUCCCGUAAUAGAUAUCGAUGUAAAUUUAACAAUAUGUUUAGACGGUGUAUGAGUUAGCCAUUCUUAAAAAAUUGACACAGUAACUUUCUAGGGUUAGAAAAGGCCUAAAGAGUUCCAUUUCUAAUUUUCUAGAUGCAAGUGCUUGGUCUACUUCCAUUUAAAAAUGCAUAUGCAGAACAUAUCCAUAUAAAAAUUUGUGUGUGUAAUUAUUUAUAUGCAUAUGUGCAAAAAUAUUGCAAGAAAUGAAAAAAUUUUAAAGAGAUUUUACCAUAGACCAAAUUGGGAAAGAGGCCAAUGCUGCAACUCUCAGUUCUUAGCUUUAUCUUUCUGAUGAUCUACUCCUCCGCCGUAGCUAAGCGGGUACCCGCCUGUCGACUGAAAAUGAUCAACACCGCUAUUCGGAACAAUGAAAAACGGAAGAUUCGAUGACGCUGAUCCGUCUAUUGCAGAUUGUUGAAACCUCUGAAGGUGGUGAUGAUGAGGCAAAACCGAUGACGGUAAAUUGGACUGAAGGGUCCCCCUAGUGAAACCACCUGGAGCAACACCACCGGACGAAGACGACGGUGACGUCAUUGAAAAGUUUAAGUUGUCUUGUUGUUGAAAGAAAGAGAACUGAUGCAGGUUAUUGUUGUCACCAGUGGUUAUGUUGAACUGUGGCAGUUGAAACAACUGAGUUUGAGUUUGUUGAGGCGGGCGGUUGUAGAAAUAUUCCAUCGGUGAGCGGCCGCCGGUGAGAAGAUCUGUGAAAGAUGAGUUGUUUGAUAUAUUGUUGGUGUCCAUCUGGCCAGUUCUCUCGCUCGUUCUCGAGCUUUGAGUCUGUUCUCUGAUCGAGACAGCGAGAGCUCUGAC
This 1762-nucleotide long non-coding RNA is filed under the name Helianthus annuus (common sunflower). Its description in RNAcentral is "hypothetical non coding rna". The record is from RNAcentral. Lineage: Eukaryota; Viridiplantae; Streptophyta; Magnoliopsida; Asterales; Asteraceae.